Molecule: non-coding RNA, 90 nt
Organism: Anopheles epiroticus
Lineage: Eukaryota; Metazoa; Arthropoda; Insecta; Diptera; Culicidae
Source: Rfam
UUUACAUGAUGAUAACCUUUUAUAUACCAGUUCUGCUUCUGAACCGCUGUGAAUCGAAAACCACAAAAUACCAAAACAAACUUCUGAUGC